Molecule: ribosomal RNA, 450 nt
Filed under: uncultured bacterium
Lineage: Bacteria
Description: bacterial SSU rRNA
Rfam family: Bacterial small subunit ribosomal RNA
Source: RNAcentral
GUGGGGAAUAUUGGACAAUGGGCGAAAGCCUGAUCCAGCCAUGCCGCGUGUGUGAAGAAGGUCUUCGGAUUGUAAAGCACUUUAAGUUGGGAGGAAGGGCAGUAAGUUAAUACCUUGCUGUUUUGACGUUACCGACAGAAUAAGCACCGGCUAACUUCGUGCCAGCAGCCGCGGUAAUACGAAGGGUGCAAGCGUUAAUCGGAAUUACUGGGCGUAAAGCGCGCGUAGGUGGUUUUGUAAGUUGGAGGUGAAAUCCCCGGGCUCAACCUGGGAAGUGCCUACAAAACUGCAUGACUAGAGGACGGUAAAGGGUAGUGGAAUUUCCUGUGUAGCGGUGAAAUGCGUAGAUAUAGGAAGGAAAACCAGUGGCGAAGGCGACUACCUGGACUGAUACUGACACUGAGGUGCGAAAGCGUGGGGAGCAAACAGGAUUAGAAACCCUGGUAGUCC